UACAGAGGGUGCGAGCGUUGUUCGGAAUCAUUGGGCGUAAAGCGCGCGUAGGUGGCCUCAUAAGUCCGCUGUGAAAGCCAAAGGCUCAACCUUUGAAAGCCGGUGGAUACUGUGAGGCUAGAGUACGGAAGAGGCGAGUGGAAUUCCUGGUGUAGCGGUGGAAUGCGCAGAUAUCAGGAGGAACACCAAUAGCGAAGGCAGCUCGCUGGGACGUUACUGACACUGAGGCGCGAAAGCGUGGGGAGCGAACAGG
Molecule: ribosomal RNA, 253 nt
Filed under: uncultured bacterium
Lineage: Bacteria
Description: partial 16S ribosomal RNA
Rfam family: Bacterial small subunit ribosomal RNA
Source: RNAcentral